UCAAGAUUUUUUUUUUCGAAAGAAUUUUAUAGAUACAGUGUUUGUUUUACUUCUUUAUUUGCCUUGUUGGGUAGUCAUGCAUAUGUUGACUGGCAUCAAAUAUAGCUCUCAUCUACCCCAUGGAAAUAAGCUUCUAUUGACUUGAACUAAGACCAGUUCUGGUAGCCUUGUCAGUGGAAAAGUCUGGCUGUGUCUAGCUGUGGCUGUGGCACCAGGAUGCGGUGGAUGCACCUGUUCUACUUGUAUAACGUUGGCACUAAUGUAGCGGCUGCUUUUCUGUGCAUUUGCCUUUGUAAAUUGUGAAAGGCCGACUUGAUUGUUGAGCUGAGCCCCACAUCCUGUGCAAACCAUACUGGCUUUCGGUGGCAUGCUGCCUCAUUUCUAGAGGAGAUUUUGAGAUCCAGCUUUUCUAUGGUUGAACACUGGAUGAGAAAACAUUAAGUUGGAAAUCCUGAAGAUGAUGUUAGGAAACUGAGAUCCAGAAAGAUGAAAAGGCGGUUUUCCCAAGUACAUCAUCAUCCUCAUCCUCAUCCUCAUCCUCAUCUUCAUCAUCAUCACAGCAACAAUCACAGUGCUUGCCUAGUGCCAACUACUGAUCUAGGCACUUUAUAUGUAUUAGUGGUAACUCACGUAAUCUUCAUAACAACCUUAUGAAGUGGUUACUAUUAUCUCUAUCUUACAGAUGAAGGAACAGAAGUACAGAGUGGUCGCAUAGCUGUUAAGAAGUUAUGCCAUGCUUGAGGUUGAAAUGGAAGAAGGAAGAUUUAAAGUUGAAAGAAAGGAAUAAGAGACGGGGAGGACAGAAGUUAAAUCAGACUAAGAGGACUUUGACAGUCAUUGAGAAAAAAAGCUCCAAGUAGUUGCUGGUCCCAGAAUGAAGAGACAAGUAGAGCCAACCUGACCUCAUUCUGAUGGCUGAUUGUACCCAGCAGAGCCCCAAUGAACUUGCAGACUU
Pteropus alecto (black flying fox) is the source of this 955-nucleotide long non-coding RNA. RefSeq lists it as uncharacterized. NCBI's taxonomy places the organism in Eukaryota, Metazoa, Chordata, Mammalia, Chiroptera, Pteropodidae. The transcript has 5 exons. The record is from RefSeq and is a predicted model, not a curated record.